Molecule: ribosomal RNA, 464 nt
Filed under: uncultured bacterium
Lineage: Bacteria
Description: partial 16S ribosomal RNA
Rfam family: Bacterial small subunit ribosomal RNA
Source: RNAcentral
GACGAACGCUGGCGGCGUGCUUAACACAUGCAAGUCGAACGGAAAGGCCCUGCUUGCAGGGUACUCGAGUGGCGAACGGGUGAGUAACACGUGGGUGAUCUGCCCUGCACUUCGGGAUAAGCCUGGGAAACUGGGCCUAAUACCGGACAGGAGCUAUUUUUAGUGUGAUGGUUGGAUAGUUUUUUCGGUGUAGGAUGAGCUCGCGGCCUAUCAGCUUGUUGGUUGGGUAAUGGCCUACCAAGGCGGCGACGGGUAGCCGGCCUGGGAGGGUGGACGGCCACAUUGGGACUACGAUACGGACCAGACUCCUACGGGAGGCAGCAGUGGGGAAUAUUGCACAAUGGCCGCAAGCCUGAUGCAGCGACGCCGCGUGGGGAAUGCCGGCCUUCGGGUUGUAAACUACUUUCGCUAGGGACGAAGCUUUUGUGACGGUACCUAGACAAGAAGCACCGGCUAACUACGUG